Molecule: ribosomal RNA, 389 nt
Filed under: uncultured bacterium
Lineage: Bacteria
Description: bacterial SSU rRNA
Rfam family: Bacterial small subunit ribosomal RNA
Source: RNAcentral
GAUAACGCUAGCGGCAGGCUUAAUACAUGCAAGUCGAGGGGCAGCAGGGGUAGCAAUACUCGCUGGCGACCGGCAAACGGGUGAGUAAUACAUCGGAACGUGCCCAAUCGUGGGGGAUAACGUAGCGAAAGCUACGCUAAUACCGCAUACGAUCUACGGAUGAAAGCGGGGGACUCGCAAGAGCCUCGCGCGAUUGGAGCGGCCGAUAUCAGAUUAGGUUGUUGGUGAGGUAAAAGACUCACCAAGCCUGCGAUCUGUAGCUGGUCUGAGAGGACGACCAGCACACUGGAACUGAGACACGGUCCAGACUCCUACGGGAGGCAGCGGUGGGGAAUUUUGGACAAUGGACGAAAGUCUGAUCCAGCAAUGCCGCGUGCAGGACGAAGGCC